UACGGGAGGGGCAGCAGUGGGGAAUAUUGCACAAUGGGACGCAAGCCUGAUGCAGCCAUGCCGCGUGUAUGAAGAAGGCCUUCGGGUUGUAAAGUACUUUCAGCGGGGAGGAAGGGAGUAAAGUUAAUACCUUUGCUCAUUGACGUUACCCGCAGAAGAAGCACCGGCUAACUCCGUGCCAGCAGCCGCGGUAAUACGGAGGGUGCAAGCGUUAAUCGGAAUUACUGGGCGUAAAGCGCACGCAGGCGGUUUGUUAAGUCAGAUGUGAAAUCCCCGGGCUCAACCUGGGAACUGCAUCUGAUACUGGCAAGCUUGAGUCUCGUAGAGGGGGGUAGAAUUCCAGGUGUAGCGGUGAAAUGCGUAGAGAUCUGGAGGAAUACCGGUGGCGAAGGCGGCCCCCUGGACGAAGACUGACGCUCAGGUGCGAAAGCGUGGGGAGCAAACAGGAUUAGAUACCCUG
Molecule: ribosomal RNA, 460 nt
Filed under: Escherichia coli
Lineage: Bacteria; Pseudomonadati; Pseudomonadota; Gammaproteobacteria; Enterobacterales; Enterobacteriaceae
Description: bacterial SSU rRNA
Rfam family: Bacterial small subunit ribosomal RNA
Source: RNAcentral